UCGAGGAUCUUCGGCAAUGGGCGCAAGCCUGACCGAGCGACGCCGCGUGCGCGAUGAAGGCCUUCGGGUUGUAAAGCGCUGUCGAGGGGGCGGAAAGCCGGGUAACCGGUCUGACUUAUCCCUGGAGGAAGCACGGGCUAAGUUCGUGCCAGCAGCCGCGGUAAGACGAACCGUGCGAACGUUGUUCGGAAUCACUGGGCUUAAAGGGCGCGUAGGCGGCCAACCAAGUCAGGAGUGAAAUCUUUCGGCUCAACCGGAAAAGUGCUCUUGAUACUGGUCGGCUAGAGGGAGAUAGGGGCAUGUGGAACUUCCGGUGGAGCGGUGAAAUGCGUUGAUAUCGGAAGGAACGCCGGUGGCGAAAGCGACGUGCUGGACCUCUUCUGACGCUGAGGCGCGAAAGCCAGGGGAGCGAACGGGAUUAGAUACCCCCGUAGUCC
This 437-nucleotide ribosomal RNA is filed under the name uncultured bacterium. RNAcentral's name for it is "bacterial SSU rRNA". It matches the Rfam family "Bacterial small subunit ribosomal RNA", at positions 355 to 796 of the family's 1533-position model. The record is from RNAcentral.